RNAcentral lists this transfer RNA (92 nucleotides) under Candidatus Riesia pediculischaeffi. It matches the Rfam family "tRNA". From Rfam's summary of the family: Transfer RNA (tRNA) molecules are approximately 80 nucleotides in length. Their secondary structure includes four short double-helical elements and three loops (D, anti-codon, and T loops). Further hydrogen bonds mediate the characteristic L-shaped molecular structure. tRNAs have two regions of fundamental functional importance: the anti-codon, which is responsible for specific mRNA codon recognition, and the 3' end, to which the tRNAs corresponding amino acid is attached (by aminoacyl-tRNA synthetases). tRNAs cope with the degeneracy of the genetic code in two manners: having more than one tRNA (with a specific anti-codon) for a particular amino acid; and 'wobble' base-pairing, i.e. permitting non-standard base-pairing at the 3rd anti-codon position. The record is from Rfam by way of RNAcentral. Lineage: Bacteria; Pseudomonadati; Pseudomonadota; Gammaproteobacteria; Enterobacterales; Enterobacteriaceae.
GGUGAGAUGUCCGAGUGGAUUAAGGAACGUGUUUGGAAAACACGAGUAUAAAAUGAAGAAUUAUACCGAGGGUUCGAAUCCCUCUCUCACCG